Long non-coding RNA from Nymphaea colorata (pocket water lily), 184 nucleotides. RefSeq lists it as uncharacterized. Lineage: Eukaryota; Viridiplantae; Streptophyta; Magnoliopsida; Nymphaeales; Nymphaeaceae. The record is from RefSeq and is a predicted model, not a curated record. The transcript is spliced from 3 exons.
GGUCAGUGCAAACUCUGUCUAUGGAUUUACUGGAGCUACUGUUGGGCAGCUGCCUUGUCUAGAAAUAUCUUCUAGUGUGACCAGCUAUGGUCGUCAGAUGAUAGAGGAAACCAAGAAGCUAGUUGAGGCACGAUUUACUACUAAAGGUGGCUAUGAGCAUAAUGCUGAGGUUGUAUAUGGAGAC